GCUUGAGUUGCUCACUGGGAAGAGGCCUGUAGAGGUGUUCAAGCCAAAGAUGUCUAGAGAACUGGUUGGCUGGGUCCAGCAAAUGAGGAGAGAGGGUAAACAAGACCAAGUCUUCGAUCCUUUCCUGAAAGGAAAGGGCUUCGAUGAUGAGAUGCUGCAAGUGCUAGAUGUGGCCUGCAUGUGUGUGAACCAAAACCCAGUCAAGAGGCCAACCAUCCAGGAAGUUGUUGAUUGGCUAAAGAAUGUGGGCACAGACAGAAACCAAAAUAAGAUUUAGAGAAUAUACCCUUCAGUACAUAUUAUAUACACUCG
This 312-nucleotide unclassified non-coding RNA is filed under the name Hevea brasiliensis (rubber tree). The record is from RNAcentral. Lineage: Eukaryota; Viridiplantae; Streptophyta; Magnoliopsida; Malpighiales; Euphorbiaceae.